UUUAAAGAUUAUUAAGCAGGGCAGCCCAGG
RNAcentral lists this non-coding RNA (30 nucleotides) under Mus musculus (house mouse). Lineage: Eukaryota; Metazoa; Chordata; Mammalia; Rodentia; Muridae. The record is from RNAcentral.